CUAUAUAGCUUAUUUUACAAAUUCUUGGACAAAGUAUCAGUUGAUGAUAUACAUUGGGGAAAAAAGAAUCGAUAACUCAAUCAAAUCAAUGGUCGCAUCCAGCGUCAGAGGAUGAAUGGCAACCUAUAGCAAUCACGCGUGCUCUUGAUUGGUAUCUCCCUGCACGGCUCCGCUAUGGUCAAAUGCCUAGAGGGGAUGACGACAUCAUGUCCUUAGCAACGGUCGCGUCUCUACGGCAACAUCCUCCGAUGUCCCCUGCUGUCACCGUGACUCUCAUCUGUUGUCAGGGGGAAAAAACACCGUUUUCUCUCGGAUGGACUGAUGACUUUGGAGGAUGGUGUGUUGUCAUUGUCUGAGCGCGAGCGCCCACCGCAGCAGCCGUUUGUGUCUCGCGACUUGAGUGCCUAAAGUUAGAGUGGACAGGGUGCAACGUGGCCACGAGGACCCUCUCCUCCUCCUCAUCAUCAUCAUCAUCAUUAUCAUCAUCAUCAUCAUUGAUCAUCCUUUAUCCUGCACCAGACCGCCAGCCCGCGCCGUCUGCAGCCCGGAGCUGUUUGCUCUCAUCUGGACCAUUUUUAUUUUGCACCAAUCGGCUCUCAUCCAGCGGCGCGCGCGGCUGAAUGGAUCCCGCCGUGCUCAUCUUCCUGUUGUACGUGAUGAUCGCGCACGAGCUGGUCUGCGGCUUGGUGCAGUACCGAAAACUGAGCGCCAAGCCCCGAAAACGUGCAGCUGGACCUCUACUGCGCACGAGCGUCCAGGUGUGUCGGGGAGCAUGGAGGACCAGCAGCCAGUCGUUCCGGCCCGACAGAGGAGGGCGGGACCUGAGGAAGAGCGGACGCAUUGUGAGAAAAGCCUAAUAAAGACAGAAACUAUGGACACUUGCUGUAGAACAACUUGAAUGGCAGCAAACCGGGCCAAGCUAACAUCACCAGCAGAAUUUGCUCUCUGAGUGGCAGCGAGUACUGUGAAUGUGGCUCUACUGAGGUUUGGGAGACCAAUCCAGCAGAUGCCCUCUAUAGAUGCAGAUGGUUAAAAAAAAAACAUUUUGCAGUGAGGCUCAAAUUCUUUUGUGAGUUCUUUGUCUUAUAGUCCCAAUAAAAUCUGUGGUUAAUACACAUUA
This is a long non-coding RNA of Sander lucioperca (pikeperch), 1120 nucleotides long. RefSeq lists it as uncharacterized. The record is from RefSeq and is a predicted model, not a curated record. NCBI's taxonomy places the organism in Eukaryota, Metazoa, Chordata, Actinopteri, Perciformes, Percidae. The transcript is spliced from 2 exons.